This 253-nucleotide ribosomal RNA is filed under the name uncultured bacterium. RNAcentral describes it as "partial 16S ribosomal RNA". It matches the Rfam family "Bacterial small subunit ribosomal RNA", at positions 524 to 776 of the family's 1533-position model. The record is from RNAcentral.
UACGAAGGGGGCUAGCGUUGCUCGGAAUCACUGGGCGUAAAGGGUGCGUAGGCGGGUCUUUAAGUCUGUCGUGAAAGCCCCGGGCUCAACCUGGGAAUGGCGAUGGAUACUGGCUCGCUAGAGUGCGGUAGAGGAGAGUGGAAUUCCCGGUGUAGCAGUGAAAUGCGUAGAGAUCGGGAGGAACAUCAGUUGCGAAGGCGGCUCUCUGGACCAGCACUGACACUGAGGCACGAAAGCGUGGGGAGCAAACAGG